RNAcentral lists this long non-coding RNA (590 nucleotides) under Phoenix dactylifera (date palm). RNAcentral's name for it is "long non-coding RNA (PDAC_LNC020998)". Lineage: Eukaryota; Viridiplantae; Streptophyta; Magnoliopsida; Arecales; Arecaceae. The record is from RNAcentral.
UGGAUUGUCUAUGUAAACCUCGUUUUUUGGUAAUAUAUAUAAACUCAUUACCACGGUCUGCCGAAUUGGGCUGAACCGCCCAGUUCGGGCAGUACCGAGUUGACCCAGUGCGAAAUCAGGUUGGUUCGCACCAAGUCGACCCGGUUAUAAAUCGGACCCUCUCUUUUGAUUUGUAUGUGCCUCUAUUUAUUGUUGGGAAGGCCCGAGAAGGCCUUCCCAACAAUAGUUGAAAGCGGCAGAGAGGUUUCUACCGCUUCUCCUUUCCAACAACUCAAAAAUUACACCGAUUCACAGGUGAGUUUUAGUUUACGCAUGCUACACAGUAUAGAGACCACGGCGCACGGUCUGGUAGAGCUCACGACGAUACGAUUGUAUAUAGGGGACAUGCUCCUCGAGGUCAUUCAGGAGGACACGAUGUAGCUGCAGAUGGCCUCGCACGUGGAAUAAAAUCUAUAUACGUAUCAGGUUUCGAGUUAUAUAUUGGAUCCUAUUAUCUGCAGCCACAGACAAUUUAUGAUUCAUAUGGAUAUGGAUAUGGUGUGUCUAAGGUAUGUUCAGUGGCUACUACCCUACGCAGCCCGGAGCAUCUU